UCGCUCCUACUGAUUGAGUGAUCCGGUAAAUAAUUUGGAUUACAGCAGCGUUCAUGUCUUGACUGUUGCUGUGCGAAGCUUGGUGAACCUUAUCACUUAGAGGAAGGGG
This 109-nucleotide ribosomal RNA is filed under the name uncultured eukaryote. RNAcentral describes it as "partial small subunit ribosomal RNA". The record is from RNAcentral.